This 301-nucleotide ribosomal RNA is filed under the name uncultured bacterium. RNAcentral's name for it is "partial 16S ribosomal RNA". It matches the Rfam family "Bacterial small subunit ribosomal RNA", at positions 509 to 807 of the family's 1533-position model. The record is from RNAcentral.
CAGUCGCCGCGGUAAUACGUAGGUGGCAAGCGUUAUCCGGAAUUAUUGGGCGUAAAGCGCGCGUAGGCGGUUUUUUAAGUCUGAUGUGAAAGCCCACGGCUCAACCGUGGAGGGUCAUUGGAAACUGGAGAACUUGAGUGCAGAAGAGGAAAGUGGAAUUCCAUGUGUAGCGGUGAAAUGCGCGGAGAUAUGGAGGAACACCAGUGGCGAAGGCGACUUUCUGGUCUGUAACUGACGCUGAUGUGCGAAAGCGUGUGGAUCAAACAGGAUUAGAUACCCCGGUAGUCCCUGUCUCUUAUAC